Molecule: ribosomal RNA, 288 nt
Filed under: uncultured bacterium
Lineage: Bacteria
Description: partial 16S ribosomal RNA
Rfam family: Bacterial small subunit ribosomal RNA
Source: RNAcentral
UAACCUACGGGGGGCAGCAGUGAGGAAUAUUGGUCAAUGGGCGCGAGCCUGAACCAGCCAAGUCGCGUGAGGGAUGACGGCCCUACGGGUUGUAAACCUCUUUUGCCGGGGAGCAACGGACGCCACGUGUGGCGCCACUGAGAGUACCCGGAGAAAAAGCAUCGGCUAACUCCGUGCCAGCAGCCGCGGUAAUACGGAGGAUGCGAGCGUUAUCCGGAUUUAUUGGGUUUAAAGGGUGCGGAGGCGGAUCGUUAAGUCAGUGGUCAAAUUGGGGGGCCAAACCCCUUC